AUGUUUGUUGAGCGAGAAGACAAGCGCGACUGGAGCUUGUUGUGCUGUAUCUUGCUUCAGUUGUUGUUGUUGUUGUUGGAUUUUUUUUUUUUUUUUUUUUGGUGGGGUGACGUGAGGGGCGGUUUUGGAAGGCAAGUGAGCGAGGAGGGGCUGAGUGAGGUGUCGCAGGGGCUCCCAUGCAGGCAGGUGAUGGAUGGCAGCCCCCCCGCAAGGUGGAGGCCGCAAAAGAAGACGAUGUCGUCCUCUUUACUCUCGGCUGACGGCUGCUCUUUUAGAGGGAAGAAGAGGAAGCAGGCCAGCAGAGAUGCCGACUCGCUCAGCCUCUGCACUCUGGAUAUCAACGAACCGAGCGCCAAGCGCAGCAAAGCGUUGGUGUCCAGAGUGACGUCACUGGCCAGCCUCCUGCCCAUCAAGACGGCGCCGCUCAAAAGGUUCGGCCAGACGCUGCAGCGUUCCAUCAGCUUCCGAAGAGAGCGAGGACUUCCUCCUCCGUCGUCGCCUCCGCCUCCUCCUCGACCUCCUCCCCCUUCCUCCUCCUCCUCUUCCAUGAAGAUGCGAGUGACCUCAGCAGCCAUGUCCAACUCCUCCUCCUCUACCACUUCUUCUUCUUCUUCUUCUUCCUCCGGCUCCUCGACGUCCAGAGUUGCCGCGGCGACCGGCCCGGCCGCCAAGCGCCGCGACAGCAAACUCUGGAGCGAGACCUUCGAUGUCCACUUGGGGGCUUCGCAAACGCUAAGCCCCAAAGACAUCAAACGGCAGGAGGCGAUUUUUGAGUUGGCUCAGGGCGAGCAAGAUCUGGUGGAGGAUCUCAAACUGGCAAAAAAGGCGUACCACGACCCCAUGCUGAAGCUGUCCAUCAUGACUGAGCAAGAACUGAACCAGAUCUUCGGUACCCUGGACUCACUGAUCCCCCUUCAUGAAGAGCUGCUGAGUCGGCUCUGCGAGGCCAGGAAACCGGACGGGUCCACAGAACACGUCGGACAGAUCCUGACCGGCUGGCUGCCAUGUCUGUCAUCGUACACGGCGUAUUGCAGCAACCAGGUUUGGGCCAAGGCCCUGCUGGACCAGAAGAAGCUGGACCGUCGGGUGCAGGACUUCCUGCAGCGCUGCCAGCAGUCGCCCUUCAGCAGGAAGUUGGACCUGUGGAACUUCCUGGACAUCCCGCGCAGCCGACUGGUCAAAUACCCGCUGCUGCUCCGUGAGAUCCUCAAGCACACACCCGAGCACCACCCAGACCGGCCGCACCUGGACCAAGGGAUGCUGCUGGUCCAGGGCGUGGUGGCCGACAUCAACAGGCGCACGGGCGAGUCCGAGUGUCAGUUCUAUAAGGACCGGCUGCUCUACGCCGAGGUUGGCCACAGGGACGCCCUCAUCCAACGCUCGCGGACGCUCAGCUGCCACGGCGAGCUCAAAAACAACCGAGGACUGAAGCUCCACGUGUUCCUGUUCCAGGACGUGCUGGUCAUCACGCGCUCCGUCUCGCUCAACGAGCAGCCGGUCAGCUACCAGCUGUGCCGGCGACCAAUCCCCAUCUGUCAGCUGGACCUAGAGGACGUCUCGGACGGCGAGAUGAGAGUGGGCGGCUCCAUCCGGGGAGCUUUCAGCAACAACGAGCGCACAAAAAACUUCUUCCGGGUGUCGUACCGGGUUUCGGGUGGCGCUCCGCAGAGUCACUGCUUCCAAGCCAGUGACGCCUUCAACAAGCAGCAGUGGAUCAACUGCAUCCGCCAGGCCAAAGAGGCAGCGGAGGCAGAAGCGGCACAGGAAAAUGGACCGUGUUUGCCAAAAGACGUCAGGAAGGAGCUGGAGACGGAGCUGGAGACGGAGCUGGAGACGGAGCUGGAACCAGAGGCGGUGAUGGAGUCAGAACCGGAGCCGGAGGACGACAAAAGGCUGUGCGAGCAAGGUGAAAACAGGACGGCAAGGAAAGCGGACACAAGAAGUGAUGCCGCUGUGGCCAUGGAGACGGAACAGGCCGAAUUGAGAAUGGAAAUGGAGGACGACGUCGGUGAGACACGCAAUGGGGAUGCUGAGGAGGAAAUGGAGGCGUUCAAUAAGGACGCCAGUGACGAGGAGAACAUACGAUGCUGAUGUUUGCACUUCACAAACUACUAGAAAGGUCUGGAUACAUGUAUGGUCGCCAUGGUAACCAGGGACAACAAAUACCAAAGAGACUUUCACCAAACCAGUCACUUUAAAAGCUUGGAAAAGCCCCCCCGCAGCUGUUCUAUCGAACAGAAAUUUCUGCUUUAAGAUGUCGUAUCCUGUGUCUAAAGGCUUUUUCACACCGCACUUGGUUUUCUUUGUGUUCAAGUACAACGGUCAAUAUCCGCAUGGGGAAGUGUUGGAUUUAAUGUCAGCGGGUUUGGACGAGUGGGGGCACACAGAACAUUGUGUAAAGGAAAUGUUUGACUUGAGUUUAACACCCAACAAUCACUUCUCUUCUCUGGAUUCUGCGUGAAAGGCACAUAAGGUUCAAUUUCCCAUGCACUGUCCCUAAUUUUUGUGAUGUCUCUGUGGGAAAAUGGGCUAUUCAUCAUAAAAAAAAAACACCUCAGUGAUUUUAACAUGCAAUAAUGUAUUUAUUACUAUUUAGGACUGAGAGGAGUAACAAUAUAUUUAUGCCCUUUGACAGCUUCUUGUCACUCUGCCAAAUCGAUGCUGCCACAAGGCAAGUCAAAAUCGGCUACGAGACACUAUGUUUGUCUGUCGGCUCAAAAUCGAGCUAAGUCCUCGUAUGACCAAUCAGAUGUGGGGAUCAAUCGCCGGUCAUAUAUAAUGUAUUGCCCCCAUGCUCUGAUGUUGUCAUCCUACGAUGUCAUCGUGUUGUCAAAAUGAUUUUGACGAAAGGGGCAUAUUACUCCUCCCUGUAAUGACUCAUCUCACAUGUGCAGCCUGCUGUGUUAUGAUGAUGACGAUUUUAAUUUUUUUUCUUCCCAAAUGAAUGACAAUCGGAGACAGAUUGUAAUGUGUAUAUCUGGAACUGCUGUAUAAUAUAUAUUUGUGUACAUUGAUGUAGAAAUAAAGGCAUUCAUAUCUGUCAA
Molecule: RNA transcript, 3044 nt
Organism: Hippocampus zosterae (dwarf seahorse)
Lineage: Eukaryota; Metazoa; Chordata; Actinopteri; Syngnathiformes; Syngnathidae
Gene: arhgef3
Gene name: Rho guanine nucleotide exchange factor (GEF) 3
Exons: 13
Source: RefSeq, a predicted model, not a curated record